This 273-nucleotide ribosomal RNA is filed under the name uncultured bacterium. RNAcentral's name for it is "partial 16S ribosomal RNA". It matches the Rfam family "Bacterial small subunit ribosomal RNA", at positions 505 to 776 of the family's 1533-position model. The record is from RNAcentral.
GUGCCAGCAGCCGCGGUAAUACGGAGGGUGCGAGCGUUGUUCGGAAUUAUUGGGCGUAAAGCGCACGUAGGCGGCUUUGUAAGUCUCACUGUGAAAGCCCGGGGCUCAACCCCGGGACUGCAGGGGAUACUGCGAGGCUUGAGUCAAGUAGAGGUUGGUAGAAUUCCUUGUGUAGGAGUGAAAUCCGUAGAUAUAAGGAGGAAUACCGAUGGCGUAGGCAGGUAACUGGCUCGUCCCUGACACUAAGGCACGAAAGCGUGGGUAGCAAACGGG